This 269-nucleotide long non-coding RNA is filed under the name Lathyrus oleraceus (garden pea). Its description in RNAcentral is "Pisum sativum (pea) long non-coding RNA (PSAT_LNC005362)". Lineage: Eukaryota; Viridiplantae; Streptophyta; Magnoliopsida; Fabales; Fabaceae. The record is from RNAcentral.
UUCAACGUAACAUGAGAAACAUGGUAUGUAGUAGCUUGGUUUCCUGCAUCUUCCAAAGGUGAUCCCUAAAAGGCCUCCCAGAGUCAUGGAAUCAUGUGAACAUAAUUUGCCGUAGUGAAUUCUCAUAAGAUAAAAGUACCCCAAAUUGAAACUAGUAUGAGUGUGGGUCUCAUGUCAGCCCAACGCACAAAACGCAGGUCAACACGACUAUCCACGAGUCUAUCCUAUAUGUAUACUCAAGCUAGGAUGUAGAGCUUCUCUUAAGUAAC